Molecule: microRNA precursor, 93 nt
Organism: Anolis carolinensis (green anole)
Lineage: Eukaryota; Metazoa; Chordata; Lepidosauria; Squamata; Anolidae
Source: Ensembl
GCAUCGGACUGUAGGGGUACAGUGAUCAGGUUACGAUGGAUUUCUCUAGUAACAGCCUCGUAGCUUGAUCACCAUCUCCCUAUGAUUCAGAUU